AUGUAGAGAUAAGUUUUCCCUUCGGGGGCAACGGUACAGGUGGUGCAUGGUUGUCGUCAGCUCGUGUCGUGAGAUGUUGGGUUAAGUCCCGCAACGAGCGCAACCCUUGAUCUUAGUUGCCAUCAUUUAGUUGGGCACUCUAAGGUGACUGCCGGUGACAAACCGGAGGAAGGUGGGGAUGACGUCAAAUCAUCAUGCCCCUUAUGACCUGGGCUACACACGUGCUACAAUGGACGAUACAAACGGUUGCCAACUCGCGAGAGGGAGCUAAUCCGAUAAAGUCGUUCUCAGUUCGGAUUGUAGGCUGCAACUCGCCUACAUGAAGCCGGAAUCGCUAGUAAUCGCGGAUCAGCAUGCCGCGGUGAAUACGUUCCCGGGCCUUGUACACACCGCCCGUCACACCACGAGAGUUUGUAACACCCGAAGUCGGUGGGGUAACCUUUGGAGCCAGCCGCCGAAGGUGGAUAGAUGAUUGUGGU
RNAcentral lists this ribosomal RNA (479 nucleotides) under Lysinibacillus sphaericus. RNAcentral's name for it is "bacterial SSU rRNA". It matches the Rfam family "Bacterial small subunit ribosomal RNA", at positions 998 to 1481 of the family's 1533-position model. The record is from RNAcentral. Lineage: Bacteria; Bacillati; Bacillota; Bacilli; Caryophanales; Bacillaceae.